UACAGAGGUGGCAAGCGUUGUUCGGAAUUACUGGGCGUAAAGGGCUCGUAGGCGGCCAACUAAGUCGGACGUGAAAAUCCCCCAGGCUUAACUUGGGAACUGCGUCCGAUACUGGAUGGCUUGAAUCCGGGAGAGGGAUGCGGAAUUCCAGGUGUAGCGGUGAAAUGCGUAGAUAUCUGGAGGAACACCGGUGGCGAAGGCGGCAUCCUGGACCGGUAUUGACGCUGAGUGAGCGAAAGCCAGGGGGAGCAAAACGGGG
Molecule: ribosomal RNA, 259 nt
Filed under: uncultured bacterium
Lineage: Bacteria
Description: partial 16S ribosomal RNA
Rfam family: Bacterial small subunit ribosomal RNA
Source: RNAcentral